This 443-nucleotide ribosomal RNA is filed under the name uncultured bacterium. Its description in RNAcentral is "partial 16S ribosomal RNA". It matches the Rfam family "Bacterial small subunit ribosomal RNA", at positions 338 to 795 of the family's 1533-position model. The record is from RNAcentral.
CCUACGGGUGGCAGCAGUGAGGAAUAUUGGGCAAUGGGCGCAAGCCUGACCCAGCAACGCCGCGUGAAGGAAGAAGGCCCUCGGGUUGUAAACUUCUUUUAUUCGGGACGAAACAAAUGACGGUACCGAAUGACUAAGCCUCGGCUAACUACGUGCCAGCAGUCGCGGGAAUACGUAGGUGGCAAGCGUUAUCCGGAUUUACUGGGUGUAAAGGGCGUGUAGGCGGGAGAGCAAGUCAGACGUGAAAUUCCAGGGCUCAACCCUGGGACAGCGUUUGAAACUGGUCGUCUUGAGUGAUGGAGAGGCAGGCGGAAUUCCGGGUGUAGCGGUGAAAUGCGUAGAUAUAGGGAAGAACACCAGUGGCGAAGGCGGCCUGCUGGACAUGAACUGACGCUGAGGCGCGAAAGCGUGGGGAGCGAACAGGAUUAGAUACCCGGGUAGUC